AAUGGGCGAAAGCCUGAUGCAGCGACGCCGCGUGAGCGAAGAAGUAUUUCGGUAUGUAAAGCUCUAUCAGCAGGGAAGAAAAUGACGGUACCUGACUAAGAAGCCCCGGCUAACUACGUGCCAGCAGCCGCGGUAAUACGUAGGGGGCAAGCGUUAUCCGGAUUUACUGGGUGUAAAGGGAGCGUAGGCGGCAAGGCAAGUCUGAUGUGAAAACCCGGGGCUCAACCCCGGGACUGCAUUGGAAACUGCUUAGCUAGAGUGUCGGAGAGGUAAGUGGAAUUCCUAGUGUAGCGGUGAAAUGCGUAGAUAUUAGGAGGAACACCAGUGGCGAAGGCGACUUACUGGACGAUAACUGACGCUGAGGCUCGAAAGCGUGGGGAGCAAA
Molecule: ribosomal RNA, 385 nt
Filed under: uncultured bacterium
Lineage: Bacteria
Description: bacterial SSU rRNA
Rfam family: Bacterial small subunit ribosomal RNA
Source: RNAcentral